GGCCGCACGUACACGCAUACUCACAUGCAAAACAUACAGCUAUUCGUGCGCGAGAAGCACAGGUACCCCUCUGGUGUCUUUCUAUCUGCAUCGUGGAAAAGAUGCGUCUGCACACGUUUUUUUUUUUUGAGUGUCAGUGUGUAUGCGUGCCUAUGAGCGUGCUUCUCUGUCGAAGCGGACAUUCCUGCCUCACAAGUAUCGUCCCUCCCUUGUUUCUGCUGCUUCUGCUGCUGUGAUGGUGCGCGGGUUCUGCCAUCCGUACAUGUCUACACCAAAAGAGGGAAAAGGAACCGGAAGGCGCGCAUGCACACUGACACACGAGCGCACUCUUACUCUCUGCAGCUUGCCUGUUGCACCCACUAAGAGCACGCGUGACCUGAUCGUCAUGUCGGCAUGGCCGGAGAGAGGGAGAGAGCGGAGUGCGGUUCAAAAGGUGCACAGACGCGGAUGGGCACAUGCGUGCAAGUCUUUCUUUGGCUGUUGUUGAUGGCUAAACGGAGGAGAAAAAAAUGUUCGCUGCUUUC
Molecule: unclassified non-coding RNA, 524 nt
Filed under: Leishmania donovani
Lineage: Eukaryota; Euglenozoa; Kinetoplastea; Trypanosomatida; Trypanosomatidae
Description: gene:unknown
Source: RNAcentral